CGCGGGGUGGAGCAGCCCGGUAGCUCGUCAGGCUCAUAACCUGAAGGUCACAGGUUCAAAUCCUGUCCCCGCA
This 73-nucleotide transfer RNA is filed under the name Falsiroseomonas stagni DSM 19981. Its description in RNAcentral is "Roseomonas stagni DSM 19981 tRNA_Met_CAT". It matches the Rfam family "tRNA". Rfam says of the family: Transfer RNA (tRNA) molecules are approximately 80 nucleotides in length. Their secondary structure includes four short double-helical elements and three loops (D, anti-codon, and T loops). The record is from RNAcentral. Lineage: Bacteria; Pseudomonadati; Pseudomonadota; Alphaproteobacteria; Acetobacterales; Roseomonadaceae. RNAcentral also lists the same sequence under 5 other names.